This 111-nucleotide non-coding RNA is filed under the name Streptococcus iniae. RNAcentral's name for it is "Streptococcus RNA 266". It matches the Rfam family "Streptococcus RNA 266". The record is from Rfam by way of RNAcentral. Lineage: Bacteria; Bacillati; Bacillota; Bacilli; Lactobacillales; Streptococcaceae.
AAUGAUGGUUUUGUCGCUUUUCAUUAUAAAUCAUAUGGAACUUUUUUUCUGCACAAAAAUAGACACCAUAAUCCUUGCGGUGGAUUUACCCACUACAGAAAUUAUAGAGCC